Molecule: ribosomal RNA, 368 nt
Filed under: uncultured bacterium
Lineage: Bacteria
Description: bacterial SSU rRNA
Rfam family: Bacterial small subunit ribosomal RNA
Source: RNAcentral
GACGAACGCUGGCGGCGUGCUUAAUACAUGCAAGUCAACUGAACUUUAGGUAGCAUAUUUAAAGGGAGGUGGCGCACGGGUGAGUAACACGUAGGUAAUCUGCCUUCAGGACUGACAUAAUUCCGCGAAAGACGGGACUAAAAUACAGAUGAUGCAGCGGCUCGACAUCGAGACAGUUGUUAAACCUUCGGGCCGUGAAGAUGAGCCUGCGUCUGAUUAGGUAGUUGGCGGGGUAAAGACCCACCAAGCCUGCGAUCAGUAGCUGGUCUGAGAGGAUGAUCAGCCACACUGGAACUGAGACACGGUCCAGACUCCUACGGGAGGCAGCAGUAAGGAAUAUUGCUCAAUGGCCGAAAGGCUGAAGCAGC